This 453-nucleotide ribosomal RNA is filed under the name Streptococcus mitis. Its description in RNAcentral is "bacterial SSU rRNA". It matches the Rfam family "Bacterial small subunit ribosomal RNA", at positions 28 to 467 of the family's 1533-position model. The record is from RNAcentral. Lineage: Bacteria; Bacillati; Bacillota; Bacilli; Lactobacillales; Streptococcaceae.
GACGAACGCUGGCGGCGUGCCUAAUACAUGCAAGUAGAACGCUGAAGGAGGAGCUUGCUUCUCUGGAUGAGUUGCGAACGGGUGAGUAACGCGUAGGUAACCUGCCUGGUAGCGGGGGAUAACUAUUGGAAACGAUAGCUAAUACCGCAUAGCAGUAGAUGUUGCAUGACAUUUGCUUAAAAGGUGCAAUUGCAUCACUACCAGAUGGACCUGCGUUGUAUUAGCUAGUUGGUGGGGUAACGGCUCACCAAGGCGACGAUACAUAGCCGACCUGAGAGGGUGAUCGGCCACACUGGGACUGAGACACGGCCCAGACUCCUACGGGAGGCAGCAGUAGGGAAUCUUCGGCAAUGGACGGAAGUCUGACCGAGCAAUGCCGCGUGAGUGAAGAAGGUUUUCGGAUCGUAAAGCUCUGUUGUAAGAGAAGAACGAGUGUGAGAGUGGAAAGUUCAC